GGACCGAACCGACUAAUGUUGAAAAAUUAGCGGAUGACCUGUGGCUGGGGGUGAAAGGCCAAUCAAACCGGGAGAUAGCUGGUUCUCCCCGAAAGCUAUUUAGGUAGCGCCUCGUGAAUUCAUCUCCGGGGGUAGAGCACUGUUUCGGCUAGGGGGCCAUCCCGGCUUACCAACCCGAUGCAAACUGCGAAUACCGGAGAAUGUUAUCACGGGAGACACACGGCGGGUGCUAACGUCCGUCGUGAAGAGGGAAACAACCCAGACCGCCAGCUAAGGUCCCAAAGUCAUGGUUAAGUGGGAAACGAUGUGGGAAGGCCCAGACAGCCAGGAUGUUGGCUUAGAAGCAGCCAUCAUUUAAAGAAAGCGUAAUAGCUCACUGGUCGAGUCGGCCUGCGCGGAAGAUGUAACGGGGCUAAACCAUGCACCGAAGCUGCGGCAGCGACACUGUGUGUUGUUGGGUAGGGGAGCGUUCUGUAAGCCUGUGAAGGUGUGUCGUGAGGCAUGCUGGAGGUAUCAGAAGUGCGAAUGCUGACAUAAGUAACGAUAAAGCGGGUGAAAAGCCCGCUCGCCGGAAGACCAAGGGUUCCUGUCCAACGUUAAUCGGGGCAGGGUGAGUCGACCCCUAAGGCGAGGCCGAAAGGCGUAGUCGAUGGGAAACGGGUUAAUAUUCCCGUACUUGGUGUUACUGCGAAGGGGGGACGGAGAAGGCUAUGUUGGCCGGGCGACGGUUGUCCCGGUUUAAGCGUGUAGGUGUGUGUUCCAGGUAAAUCCGGUUCACUUUAACACUGAGGCGUGACGACGAGGCACUACGGUGCUGAAGCAACAAAUGCCCUGCUUCCAGGAAAAGCCUCUAAGCAUCAGGUAACAUCAAAUCGUACCCCAAACCGACACAGGUGGUCAGGUAGAGAAUACCAAGGCGCUUGAGAGAACUCGGGUGAAGGAACUAGGCAAAAUGGUGCCGUAACUUCGGGAGAAGGCACGCUGACACGUAGGUGAAGUGAUUUACUCAUGGAGCUGAAGUCAGUCGAAGAUACCAGCUGGCUGCAACUGUUUAUUAAAAACACAGCACUGUGCAAACACGAAAGUGGACGUAUACGGUGUGACGCCUGCCCGGUGCCGGAAGGUUAAUUGAUGGGGUCAGCGCAAGCGAAGCUCCUGAUCGAAGCCCCGGUAAACGGCGGCCGUAACUAUAACGGUCCUAAGGUAGCGAAAUUCCUUGUCGGGUAAGUUCCGACCUGCACGAAUGGCGUAAUGAUGGCCAGGCUGUCUCCACCCGAGACUCAGUGAAAUUGAACUCGCUGUGAAGAUGCAGUGUACCCGCGGCAAGACGGAAAGACCCCGUGAACCUUUACUAUAGCUUGACACUGAACAUUGAGCCUUGAUGUGUAGGAUAGGUGGGAGGCUUUGAAGUGUGGACGCCAGUCUGCAUGGAGCCGACCUUGAAAUACCACCCUUUAAUGUUUGAUGUUCUAACGUGGACCCGUUACCCGGGUUGCGGACAGUGUCUGGUGGGUAGUUUGACUGGGGCGGUCUCCUCCUAAAGAGUAACGGAGGAGCACGAAGGUUGGCUAAUCCUGGUCGGACAUCAGGAGGUUAGUGCAAUGGCAUAAGCCAGCUUGACUGCGAGCGUGACGGCGCGAGCAGGUGCGAAAGCAGGUCAUAGUGAUCCGGUGGUUCUGAAUGGAAGGGCCAUCGCUCAACGGAUAAAAGGUACUCCGGGGAUAACAGGCUGAUACCGCCCAAGAGUUCAUAUCGACGGCGGUGUUUGGCACCUCGAUGUCGGCUCAUCACAUCCUGGGGCUGAAGUAGGUCCCAAGGGUAUGGCUGUUCGCCAUUUAAAGUGGUACGCGAGCUGGGUUUAGAACGUCGUGAGACAGUUCGGUCCCUAUCUGCCGUGGGCGCUGGAGAACUGAGGGGGGCUGCUCCUAGUACGAGAGGACCGGAGUGGACGCAUCACUGGUGUUCGGGUUGUCAUGCCAAUGGCACUGCCCGGUAGCUAAAUGCGGAAGAGAUAAGUGCUGAAAGCAUCUAAGCACGAAACUUGCCCCGA
This 2050-nucleotide ribosomal RNA is filed under the name Salmonella enterica. Its description in RNAcentral is "partial 23S ribosomal RNA". It matches the Rfam family "Bacterial large subunit ribosomal RNA", at positions 771 to 2802 of the family's 2925-position model. RNAcentral also lists the same sequence under 1 other name. The record is from RNAcentral. Lineage: Bacteria; Pseudomonadati; Pseudomonadota; Gammaproteobacteria; Enterobacterales; Enterobacteriaceae.